Molecule: ribosomal RNA, 521 nt
Filed under: fungal sp. 768 YZ-2011
Lineage: Eukaryota; Fungi
Description: eukaryotic LSU rRNA
Rfam family: 5.8S ribosomal RNA (bases 163-315)
Source: RNAcentral
UCUGGGUCCAACCUCCCACCCGUGUUUAUUUUACCUUGUUGCUUCGGCGGGCCCGCCUUAACUGGCCGCCGGGGGGCUUACGCCCCCGGGCCCGCGCCCGCCGAAGACACCCUCGAACUCUGUCUGAAGAUUGUAGUCUGAGUGAAAAUAUAAAUUAUUUAAAACUUUCAACAACGGAUCUCUUGGUUCCGGCAUCGAUGAAGAACGCAGCGAAAUGCGAUACGUAAUGUGAAUUGCAAAUUCAGUGAAUCAUCGAGUCUUUGAACGCACAUUGCGCCCCCUGGUAUUCCGGGGGGCAUGCCUGUCCGAGCGUCAUUGCUGCCCUCAAGCACGGCUUGUGUGUUGGGCCCCGUCCUCCGAUCCCGGGGGACGGGCCCGAAAGGCAGCGGCGGCACCGCGUCCGGUCCUCGAGCGUAUGGGGCUUUGUCACCCGCUCUGUAGGCCCGGCCGGCGCUUGCCGAUCAACCCAAAUUUUUAUCCAGGUUGACCUCGGAUCAGGUAGGGAUACCCGCUGAACUUAA